RNAcentral lists this ribosomal RNA (497 nucleotides) under uncultured bacterium. Its description in RNAcentral is "partial 16S ribosomal RNA". It matches the Rfam family "Bacterial small subunit ribosomal RNA", at positions 28 to 507 of the family's 1533-position model. The record is from RNAcentral.
GACGAACGCUGGCGGCGUGCCUAAUACAUGCAAGUUGAGCGCUGAAGGUUGGUACUUGUACCAACUGGAUGAGCAGCGAACGGGUGAGUAACGCGUGGGGAAUCUGCCUUUGAGCGGGGGACAACAUUUGGAAACGAAUGCUAAUACCGCAUAAAAACUUUAAACACAAGUUUUAAGUUUGAAAGAUGCAAUUGCAUCACUCAAAGAUGAUCCCGCGUUGUAUUAGCUAGUUGGUGAGGUAAAGGCUCACCAAGGCGAUGAUACAUAGCCGACCUGAGAGGGUGAUCGGCCACAUUGGGACUGAGACACGGCCCAAACUCCUACGGGAGGCAGCAGUAGGGAAUCUUCGGCAAUAGGCGAAAGUCUGACCGAGCAACGCCGCGUGAGUGAAGAAGGUUUUCGGAUCGUAAAACUCUGUUGGUAGAGAAGAACGUUGGUGAGAGUGGAAAGCUCAUCAAGUGACGGUAACUACCCAGAAAGGGACGGCUAACUACGUG